Long non-coding RNA from Cyprinus carpio carpio, 3379 nucleotides. The record is from Ensembl. NCBI's taxonomy places the organism in Eukaryota, Metazoa, Chordata, Actinopteri, Cypriniformes, Cyprinidae.
ACUAAACUGACCAAUCAGGAUAGAUAUUUAAAUGACGCAACGUCGUUUGCUUCUGUUCAAAAUGCGGCCUAAAGAGGCACAAGGUGGGUGAAUGAAUAUUUUCUCGUUCCGCGUAUAUAACCGAUCAUCACAACAUCAGGUGAUGUUUUAAUAUACUGUAAGUGCGUCAUCAGGCCUUCAUGUGUUUAAGUCAAGACAACAGGUGAAGAGAAAUUCUGCCAAAAAUAACGACAUACAAAUGAUUGGCCAUAAUGAAGCAGUGGAGGAUGGAGUUCUUUACGCACAGGUGAGUAGAUGUUGGAUGGAAUGGGGCCCUCCAUUCACAUAUAUUCGUUUAUCAGUCUGUGUAUUCUGCGCGAUGUUGGUGAUUGGAGAGAUUGUAACGUGUCAUUGAUUAUCGAGACUGUUUUAAGAUAUCAAGGAUUUUGAUAUCUUAAAUUUUAAUAUUUUUUAAUUUACUGCAAUGUUUUAUUGGUUAUUUAUGUAAUCACUCCGACAAAUGUGUUCCUGAAGUAACAUUAACGUUAGGUGCAGCAUGGAUAAAAGUGUGCCAAAAUAAUGUUCCUUGUUUAAAUUUAAUAAGUCAAAGACUUAGACUUUGUUUUGUUAAAUAUAGCAUAAAACCGUUUGUGUCAGCUUGCUUACUAAUUAUGCGCACAGUGAUUGACCUACAGUCUCUGUCAGAGAUUUAUUCAUAGAAAUAUUGUAGAGUGCGAUAUUAUGUUGCCACAUUCAAAUGUCACUAAUUUAACAAGUAUAUGUUCAGCUGUCAGCUACUCUCUCAAACAAUAAGCGGAUAUGCACAUAAACAGCCUUUUAAUUAUCAGAGUAGAAUAAUCAUGGCUGAUAGUAAGACAUGCAAAUGUAAAGGAAAACCAAACUGGAUGCAACUUGUUAAUGAAAACAAGGAUAUAAUCAAAGGUAAAUUUGAAGUUGGGAUAACCUUCCAAACCAAACCAAAAAAAAAAAAAAAAAAAGAUGUGUGGGAAACAUGUUCAAAUAAAUGCAGCCUGCUGUGAGAAAAGGCUAUAAAUGAUCUGCAGGAUCCUCACAUGCGAUAGCCUAGAAGCCGGGACAACUUCUUUAUGUUUACAGACAUGAUGUAAUGAUGCAGUGCCAUGCUCGAAUUUUUGGUUUUUAAAUGGCAUUGACAUUAAAAUCCCCUUUUAGAACGUUUAUUUUUUAAGAGUGUACAUAGUAAAAGCAGUACAUUAUCCUGGACAAUCCUACAAGACAUCCACCUUAUUAAGGGAACAUGCACUUAGAAGCCGAUUAGCAUGCAACAAACAGGACUUCAGCUGUCAUGGGAACUGUGUUCAAGAGGUUAACUGCAGUCAUUACAUCUGCACAGACAGUUGUAAGCAAAGUUUAAUAGAUUUUCGCGGAACCCAAACAGUUGAGCUCUGUGUUGCUAACAAAACUUUAAUAUUUUCACAUAAAUGCUGGUGUAAUUCAUAGACGCUUACAAGGGCCAAACAGACAGAACUGCUUUUUUGUUAUAGUGUUUCGGUGACAACAGAACCACAAACCUUUGCAGCUAUGAAUAAACAUGCAAAGGGAUCUGAAAGAAGUGCAGGAACGAUUCUGUGGAGAAGUGCAAUUAAAACGAGAAAAACACACUGCAUCCGUCUAAAGAUUAGUGUUUCUGCCUUAAUCAAGUGUGGAUGAAUAUAGAUUUUUUAAGGGGCUUAUUUACCUUUUUAGAAGGAGACUUUCCCUUUUUUUUCUUCAGUGUAUUAGAGAUAUUCUUGUAUCCCAGUGGCAAACGGGAAAGAAUGUUUUGGAUGCAUUCCAUAUGAAAUCCCCACUUGAUUAGAUUUAAUAAGCUUAUGGGCCAAUCGUAAUACGUUUGAAAUGAUAUUGAAGAAGCCUUUCAAAAACCUCUCUUAAUACUACAAAAGGACAAUAAAAUUGCUGCUGAAAGACACAAUUCAUAAACAUAAUAUUGAGUUAAAGGAUAUGUAAAAAUUGGUUUAGAAACCAGUGCAAACAAAAAUAAGUGUUUUGCUUUGCUUUACUUUUUUGGACUGUUUUCAGUUGUAAACAAUGAUUGACCUGUGCAUAUUUCGCUCCUGAUUCAGACUUUUUCACUGGAGAAAGCAAUGCUAUAGAGGAUUUGUUAGAGGUAUUUUGGCCAGAAGCAAUGGUUUGAAGUUUAAAAAACUUAAUGAUGUAUCUGUUACUUACAAACAUGCAAGACAUGAUGGAUCUGAUGGACUGGAGUGGCGUAGAUUACCUGUGGAUUAUUGUGAUGUAUUUAUCAGCUGUCUGAUGGCACCCAUUCACUGCAGAGGAUCCAUUGGAACCAAUCUGUUCUGCUGUAGAAACAAACAAAUCUUAGAUGGCCUUCUAGCUAUUUUUUUAUUUUUGGGAGAACUAUUUCUUUAAGUCUGUUAUUGGUAAUGAAAUGAGUGGGUUCAUGUAUUUUCCCUAGAAUUGGGUUUAACUGUUCAGCCUAAAAAAAGCCUAAGAAAUAUUUCAACUUGCUUUUAUUUUGUUCUCUGAGCUGCUCUUUUACACAAAGCAAAAAUGCAUGGUGAUCAUAGAUAUUAAGUUCAGUUGUUGAAAAUCAGGAUUUGAACCCGGUUCCCCUUUCACACUAAAUGAAAGCUGUACCAUUAGACUAACACAUUUUAUAUAACCAGCUCUUAAAAACAUGUUUUCCCCUAUGGUCAUGUGUUAUUUUUCAGGACUGUGACUGGUGACUUUUAAAAAGGAGUGCAUGAUGCGCCUGAGAAUAAGCACUUCAUUUAUCAGCUUCAUCAUGUUUCUGCACGACUGCUGUUCCAGCAGAUACCUGAAGUGACCAGGGCAAGGUGUCCAUCGUCAGAAUGUAAACUCUAUAUGCUUUUAAACUGGAUGACCUUUCCUAAUAACUAAAAUCUUUUUUUUUUUUUAUGACUUUCACAAGAAAAAAAUCAGUAGAAAUGAUUGAAAACCUCUCGCUGCAGUCUGGUAAUGGUUUUUAAAAGGUUUUAUAGUAUUUCUAUGGAAAUGGAGCAUGCUUUUCCUGAUGCUUGAUGUUCAACCCUUGAUGUCAUAACACACAAAAAGCAGCAUCCGCUGAUCUAUAACAGAGAACUGGAUUGCUCAUGAUGCCAUAAAAUUGAAGCCACUGCACCGCCAUAUUGGUAUUCCUUAGUAUUCCCAUUCUAUUGGAUUCGAAAACAUCACCUAAUAAGUCAGUGUUUUUGUAUCUACAUUCUCCCUGUACAUUCUUACAAUGCAAACGUCCUAUGCAUGUAAAUGGUUAUUUGUGUAAUGCUGGGAAUUUCCCCUGUGUAAUAAAAAGUUACAUUCAUAUACAUUACAGUAUCAAACAUCAGAUGAACGUGAUUAACAUCAAAUGGAUGAGAUCCUCAACGUGUAUAUUAUAAAU